Non-coding RNA from Pelodiscus sinensis (Chinese soft-shelled turtle), 279 nucleotides. Lineage: Eukaryota; Metazoa; Chordata; Testudines; Trionychidae. The record is from RefSeq and is a predicted model, not a curated record.
AGCUCUGGGGUGUGGAGAACGCCCCCCCCCCCCGCCAGAGGAGCCAAGAGCGAGGGAACCGCUGCGACCGGAUCCUCGCCUGAGGAAGAGACUCCUGGAGCUGUAACACUUACAUGGCUAGCGGCAGAUACUAGAAAUUUGACAGUGUAACCGUCCUGGGAUGAGGAAGGUGCCUAUGAAGUUCCUAUGAAAACCCAUUCAGAUGUGGUUGAACUAUGAGCUGUGAAAACUGUAACAUUUUCUAGGCAGCAUUCAUAAUAAAGGACAGCUGACAAGUUG